Molecule: ribosomal RNA, 479 nt
Filed under: uncultured bacterium
Lineage: Bacteria
Description: bacterial SSU rRNA
Rfam family: Bacterial small subunit ribosomal RNA
Source: RNAcentral
UUUCGCAAUGCCCGAAAGGGUGACGAAGCGACGCCGCGUGAGCGAAGAAGGCCCUAGGGUUGUAAAGCUCUGUCAGGGGUUAUGAAAUGUAGACUAGCUAAUACCUGGUUUAUUUGACAAAGGCCCCAAAGGAAGCCACGGCUAACUCUGUGCCAGCAGCCGCGGUAAUACAGAGGUGGCAAGCGUUGUUCGGUAUUAUUGGGCGUAAAGAGCACGUAGGUGGUUUUGUAAGUCAGAUGUGAAAGCCUUCUGUUCAAAGGAAUAACGGCAUCUGAAACUGCAGAUCUUGAGUAUAGGAGGGGAGAGUGGAACUUCUGGUGGAGCGGUGAAAUGCGUAGAUAUCAGAAGGAACGUCGGCGGCGAAAGCGACUCUCUGGCCUAUUACUGGCACUGAGUGUGCGAAAGUUAGGGGAGCAAACGGGAUUAGAUACCCCGGUAGUCCUAACCGUAAACGAUGGGCACUAAGUAGAGGGGUUUUA